RNAcentral lists this ribosomal RNA (497 nucleotides) under uncultured bacterium. RNAcentral describes it as "partial 16S ribosomal RNA". It matches the Rfam family "Bacterial small subunit ribosomal RNA", at positions 28 to 507 of the family's 1533-position model. The record is from RNAcentral.
GAUGAACGCUGGCGGCGUGCCUAAUACAUGCAAGUCGAGCGAACAGACGAGGAGCUUGCUCCUCUGACGUUAGCGGCGGACGGGUGAGUAACACGUGGAUAACCUACCUAUAAGACUGGGAUAACUUCGGGAAACCGGAGCUAAUACCGGAUAAUAUAUUGAACCGCAUGGUUCAAUAGUGAAAGGCGGUUUUGCUGUCACUUAUAGAUGGAUCCGCGCCGCAUUAGCUAGUUGGUAAGGUAACGGCUUACCAAGGCGACGAUGCGUAGCCGACCUGAGAGGGGGAUCGGCCACACUGGAACUGAGACACGGUCCAGACUCCUACGGGAGGCAGCAGUAGGGAAUCUUCCGCAAUGGGCGAAAGCCUGACGGAGCAACGCCGCGUGAGUGAUGAAGGUCUUCGGAUCGUAAAACUCUGUUAUUAGGGAAGAACAAAUGUGUAAGUAACUAUGCACGUCUUGACGGUACCUAAUCAGAAAGCCACGGCUAACUACGUG